AGAGUUUGAUCAUGGCUCAGAUUGAACGCUGGCGGCAGGCCUAACACAUGCAAGUCGAACGGUAACAGGAAGCAGCUUGCUGCUUUGCUGACGAGUGGCGGACGGGUGAGUAAUGUCUGGGAAACUGCCUGAUGGAGGGGGAUAACUACUGGAAACGGUGGCUAAUACCGCAUAACGUCGCAAGACCAAAGAGGGGGACCUUCGGGCCUCUUGCCAUCAGAUGUGCCCAGAUGGGAUUAGCUAGUUGGUGAGGUAACGGCUCACCAAGGCGACGAUCCCUAGCUGGUCUGAGAGGAUGACCAGCCACACUGGAACUGAGACACGGUCCAGACUCCUACGGGAGGCAGCAGUGGGGAAUAUUGCACAAUGGGCGCAAGCCUGAUGCAGCCAUGCCGCGUGUAUGAAGAAGGCCUUCGGGUUGUAAAGUACUUUCAGCGGGGAGGAAGGUGUUGUGGUUAAUAACCGCAGCAAUUGACGUUACCCGCAGAAGAAGCACCGGCUAACUCCGUGCCAGCAGCCGCGGUAAUACGGAGGGUGCAAGCGUUAAUCGGAAUUACUGGGCGUAAAGCGCACGCAGGCGGUCUGUCAAGUCGGAUGUGAAAUCCCCGGGCUCAACCUGGGAACUGCAUUCGAAACUGGCAGGCUUGAGUCUUGUAGAGGGGGGUAGAAUUCCAGGUGUAGCGGUGAAAUGCGUAGAGAUCUGGAGGAAUACCGGUGGCGAAGGCGGCCCCCUGGACAAAGACUGACGCUCAGGUGCGAAAGCGUGGGGAGCAAACAGGAUUAGAUACCCUGGUAGUCCACGCCGUAAACGAUGUCUACUUGGAGGUUGUGCCCUUGAGGCGUGGCUUCCGGAGCUAACGCGUUAAGUAGACCGCCUGGGGAGUACGGCCGCAAGGUUAAAACUCAAAUGAAUUGACGGGGGCCCGCACAAGCGGUGGAGCAUGUGGUUUAAUUCGAUGCAACGCGAAGAACCUUACCUGGUCUUGACAUCCACAGAACUUUCCAGAGAUGGAUUGGUGCCUUCGGGAACUGUGAGACAGGUGCUGCAUGGCUGUCGUCAGCUCGUGUUGUGAAAUGUUGGGUUAAGUCCCGCAACGAGCGCAACCCUUAUCCUUUGUUGCCAGCGAUUAGGUCGGGAACUCAAAGGAGACUGCCAGUGAUAAACUGGAGGAAGGUGGGGAUGACGUCAAGUCAUCAUGGCCCUUACGACCAGGGCUACACACGUGCUACAAUGGCGCAUACAAAGAGAAGCGACCUCGCGAGAGCAAGCGGACCUCAUAAAGUGCGUCGUAGUCCGGAUUGGAGUCUGCAACUCGACUCCAUGAAGUCGGAAUCGCUAGUAAUCGUGGAUCAGAAUGCCACGGUGAAUACGUUCCCGGGCCUUGUACACACCGCCCGUCACACCAUGGGAGUGGGUUGCAAAAGAAGUAGGUAGCUUAACCUUCGGGAGGGCGCUUACCACUUUGUGAUUCAUGACUGGGGUGAAGUCGUAACAAGGUAACCGUAGGGGAACCUGCGGUUGGAUCACCU
RNAcentral lists this ribosomal RNA (1530 nucleotides) under Salmonella sp. RNAcentral describes it as "bacterial SSU rRNA". It matches the Rfam family "Bacterial small subunit ribosomal RNA". Lineage: Bacteria; Pseudomonadati; Pseudomonadota; Gammaproteobacteria; Enterobacterales; Enterobacteriaceae. The record is from RNAcentral. RNAcentral also lists the same sequence under 5 other names.